This 1743-nucleotide ribosomal RNA is filed under the name Triticum aestivum (bread wheat). RNAcentral's name for it is "partial small subunit ribosomal RNA". The record is from RNAcentral. Lineage: Eukaryota; Viridiplantae; Streptophyta; Magnoliopsida; Poales; Poaceae.
AUGGCAGCCAUGGCAGUCGUCGUCGUCGUGUUCUUCGUCGCUGCGGCCCUAGUAGCGGCAGGCGGUGCGGCACUCGUCGAGCACACCUUUGUUGUGAGCCAGGUUAAGCUAAAUCGGUUGUGCAACGACAUGCUGGUCACUGUGGUGAACGGGCAAUUCCCAGGUCCAGCGAUAGAGGUUAAAGAAGGAGACUCGGUGGCUGUUCAAGUCAUCAACAAGUCCCCCUAUGGACUAACAAUUCACUGGCAUGGAGUGAAGCUGCAACUGAACUGCUGGGCAGAUGGAGCGGGGAUGAUAACCCAGUGCCCCAUCCAGCCGAACAAAAACUUCACCUACCGAUUUAACGUCACCGGCCAGGAGGGCACGCUGUGGUGGCACGCUCACGUUGGCAGUCUCCGGGCAAGCAUCCAUGGCGCCUUGAUCAUCCGGCCAAGAUCUGGUUCCAGGUCAUACCCGUUUCCCAAGCCUCACAAGGAGAUCCCGAUCGUCAUAGGCGAAUGGUGGGAGAUGGACUUGAAUCAGCUAGACAAGAACCUUAGGAACGGUCACCUUUUUGAUAUGCCCCGUGUAGCUACCAUAAAUGGGAAGCCUGGAGAUCUGGACAACUGCUCUGGGACCGUUAAAGACAGCAACAUUCUCAAGGUGGAGCAUGGCAAGACAUAUUUGUUACGGAUAGUGAACGCUGCGAUGAACUCGGAAUAUUACUUGAAGAUCGCCGGGCACAGGUUCACGGUGGUGGCCGCCGACGCCAACUAUGUCAAGCCGUACACCACAGACGUCAUCGCGAUCGCGCCGGGCGAGACCGUCGACGCUCUGCUUGUGGCCGACGCGCAUCCUGCUGGCAGAUACUACAUCGUCGCCAAGGCCAACCAGCCGCCCAAGCCUGCGAUCCAGAUCCCAGUCUUCAUCUCAAGAGGGAUAGUUCAAUACGGUGACGGUCCAAGAAAAGUAGAAGAGAAAGCUCUAUCUGAUAGUGCUUCAUUAAUAAUGGCGCCUGAAAUGCCGGAUAAGCAUGACGCGGCCACUUCCUUCUACUUCCAUGGCAACUUGACAAGCCUGCAGCCUCAGCCGGUGCCGGCCAACGUCCAUGAGCACCUCUUCUACGCCCUUGACGCGAGCUUCGUCUGUAGAGAAGGCGAAUCAUCCUGCAACAAUGCUACUAAUAUGAUGGGCAUGGUGAACAACGUCUCCUUCCAGCUCCCCACAACAACACCAUUGCUGCAGGCGCACUACCACGGCAACACGAGCAGCAUCGGCACGCUGCGGGAACUACCUGACAGGGCACCCAGGAUGUUUAACUACAGCGAAACGCUAGAGCCGACGUCCAAGGCGACGUCGGUGAGAAGGCUGCGGUACAACGCCACGGUGGAGAUCGUCUUCCAGAGCCCGGUGCUGGCGGACACAUACGCUAACCCCAUGCACCUCCAUGGCCACGACUUCCUCGUCCUCGCGCAGGGGUUCGGACAAUACAACGCCGAGACAGACGUGGCGACGUACAACCUGGUGGAUCCGCCGGUGAGGAACACCGUCCAUGUCCCACUAUUCGGGUGGGCGGCCGUCCGAUUUGUCACCAACAAUCCAGGUGUGUGGUUCAUGCACUGCCAUUUUGGGCACCACUCGUCGUCAGGCAUGGCGGCAGCAUUCGUGGUGGAGAACGGUCCAACUUUGGACUCGACUCUUCCUCCGCCUCCGGAAGAUUUUCCAAGCUGCAAGACCUACAAUAGUAGAGUUUCAUAUGAAUAA